RNAcentral lists this ribosomal RNA (243 nucleotides) under uncultured Actinomycetales bacterium. RNAcentral describes it as "partial 16S ribosomal RNA". It matches the Rfam family "Bacterial small subunit ribosomal RNA", at positions 88 to 334 of the family's 1533-position model. Lineage: Bacteria; Bacillati; Actinomycetota; Actinomycetes; Actinomycetales. The record is from RNAcentral.
UACUCGAGUGGCGAACGGGUGAGUAACACGCGGGUGAUCUGCCCUGCACUUCGGGAUAAGCCUGGGAAACUGGGUCUAAUACCGGAUAGGAGCCAUUUUUAGUGUGAUGGUUGGAAAGUUUUUUCGGUGUAGGAUGAGCUCGCGGCCUAUCAGCUUGUUGGUGGGGUAAUGGCCUACCAAGGCGGCGACGGGCAGCCGGCCUGAGAGGGUGGACGGCCACAUUGGGACUGAGAUACGGCCCAG